GGGCGCACGGUGAAUGCCUAGGCACAAUGAGGCGAAGAAGGACGUGACGAACCACGAAAGGCUUCGGGGAGCAGUAAGUACGCAAAGAUCCGGAGAUAUCCGAAUGGGGGAACCCAAUGCAUGCAGAUGCAUUACCAGGUGGUGAAUCAAUAGCCACCUGGGGCAAGACGCAGUGAACUGAAACAUCUAAGUAGCUGCAGGAAGAGAAAGAAAAAUCGAUUUCCCUAGUAGCGGCGAGCGAAG
RNAcentral lists this ribosomal RNA (243 nucleotides) under Lactobacillus sp. W8171. RNAcentral describes it as "partial 23S ribosomal RNA". It matches the Rfam family "Bacterial large subunit ribosomal RNA", at positions 15 to 258 of the family's 2925-position model. Lineage: Bacteria; Bacillati; Bacillota; Bacilli; Lactobacillales; Lactobacillaceae. The record is from RNAcentral.